CAAUAGCGUAUAUUAAAGUUGUUGCGGUUAAAAGCUCGUAGUUGGAUUUCUGUCGGAGACGCGCGGUCCGCACUAUGUGCGUGUAUCUGUGUCGGCUCUGGCAUCCUCCUGGGGAACGGUGCUGCGCUUGAUUGCGUGGUCCGGUAUUCAGGACUUUUACUUGAGGAAAUUAGAGUGUUUACGGCAGGCAAGCGCCUUGAAUAUAUUAGCAUGGAAUAAUAAUAUAGGGCGUAAGUUCUAUCUUGUGGUUUCUAGAACAUACGCAAUGAUUAAUAGGGACAAUUGGGGGCAUUCGUAUUAACGCGUCAGAGGUGGAAAUUCUUAGAUUGCGUUACGACGAACUACUGCGAAAGCAUUUUGCCAAGGAUGUUUUCAUUGAUCAGACGAAGUAUGGGGAUCGAAGAUGAUUAGAUACCGU
RNAcentral lists this ribosomal RNA (418 nucleotides) under uncultured eukaryote. Its description in RNAcentral is "SSU rRNA". It matches the Rfam family "Eukaryotic small subunit ribosomal RNA", at positions 592 to 1018 of the family's 1831-position model. The record is from RNAcentral.